AUACGUAUGUCGCAAGCGUUAUCCGGAAUUAUUGGGCGUAAAGCGAGUCUAGGCGGCUUGUUAAGUCAGAUGUGAAAAUGCGGGGCUCAACUCCGUAUUGCGUUUGAGACUGGCAGGCUAGAGUACUGGAGAGGUGGGCGGAACUACAAGUGUAGAGGUGAAAUUCGUAGAUAUUUGUAGGAAUGCCGAUAGUGAAGACAGCUCACUGGACAGAUACUGACGCUAAAGCUCGAAAGCGUGGGGAGCGAACAGGAUUAGAUACCCCGGUAGUCC
Molecule: ribosomal RNA, 273 nt
Filed under: uncultured bacterium
Lineage: Bacteria
Description: partial 16S ribosomal RNA
Rfam family: Bacterial small subunit ribosomal RNA
Source: RNAcentral